GCCGGGCGUGGUGGCCUAUGCCUUUAAUCCCAUCACUAGGGGGGCCGAGGUAGGGGGAUCACUGUGAGUUCAAGGCCACCCUGAGAUUACAUAGUAAAUUCCAGGUCAGCCUGAGCUAGAGUGAAACCCUACCUCGAAAAACCAAAAGAAAAAAAAAAGAUAGGGUUUCACUCUAGCUCAGGCUGACCUGGAAUUUACUGUGUAGUGUCUCAGGGUGGGCUUAAACCCAUGGUGAUCCUACCUCU
RNAcentral lists this small RNA (245 nucleotides) under Jaculus jaculus (lesser Egyptian jerboa). Lineage: Eukaryota; Metazoa; Chordata; Mammalia; Rodentia; Dipodidae. The record is from RNAcentral.